CUCAAUGUCGUUUCUUGGAGUCAAUUGGAGUGGGAAAGAUACAGAGAAGAUUAGCAUGGCCCAUGCUCAAGGAAGACGGCUGCAUAUUCAUCAACACUCACCCUGCUA
Molecule: small nuclear RNA, 108 nt
Filed under: Nelumbo nucifera (sacred lotus)
Lineage: Eukaryota; Viridiplantae; Streptophyta; Magnoliopsida; Proteales; Nelumbonaceae
Source: RNAcentral